GUGGGGAAUAUUGCACAAUGGGCGCAAGCCUGAUGCAGCAACGCCGCGUGAGGGAUGACGGCCUUCGGGUUGUAAACCUCUUUUAGUAGGGAAGAAGCGAAAGUGACGGUACCUGCAGAAAAAGCACCGGCUAACUACGUGCCAGCAGCCGCGGUAAUACGUAGGGUGCAAGCGUUGUCCGGAAUUAUUGGGCGUAAAGAGCUCGUAGGCGGCUUGUCGCGUCUGCUGUGAAAACCCGAGGCUCAACCUCGGGCCUGCAGUGGGUACGGGCAGGCUGGAGUGCGGUAGGGGAGAUUGGAAUUCCUGGUGUAGCGGUGGAAUGCGCAGAUAUCAGGAGGAACACCGAUGGCGAAGGCAGAUCUCUGGGCCGUAACUGACGCUGAGGAGCGAAAGCGUGGGGAGCGAACAGGAUUAGAAACCCCAGUAGUCC
Molecule: ribosomal RNA, 430 nt
Filed under: uncultured bacterium
Lineage: Bacteria
Description: bacterial SSU rRNA
Rfam family: Bacterial small subunit ribosomal RNA
Source: RNAcentral